UAAAUAUUCAUGCAUCGUGACUCUCAAUUUGUAACAGCGAUAAUUUUAUAAGCAGCGAAUGUUUGAAAGUUAGCGAAGCGCUGAUACGUAUCCGUCCGACUCAGUUCGGUAAUGUGUGACGAUCGUUUGUUUACUUUAUCAGUUGUUGCAAUUUCAACGAGGUGUGAUGCUCGUUUUACGACUACAAAACUCAAAUUCUCUCGUUGUGCUGGGACUCGUUAUUUUGAGUCUUAUAUUUAUGAUUCAGAUUAAACAAAUAUACAACAACAAUCAGAAAUAUAACAGAUACAUGACGUACAAGCAAUAUAUGAACGAAAUAGCGACAGAGUUGAAGGCGGUAGUGAAGUCUGUAAAUAAAUCAUCUGCAUAUGUUCGUCAAUUGAACGAGAUGCUCUCAAAAUAUCGGGAAAGAACGUUGAAGAAUAUCUCAAUGUCGAAAACUGCCUCAAUAUCGUAAAUAUUUUAAGCUACUGGGGGGAAAACUCAAAUUGAAGGUAGUAAUUACCUGGAAAGUCGGAGAUAGAUAGAAGUCUUGAUCGAUAGGGAAUGGCAUCCUAUAGUUGAUAUUAUGUAUAAGCUUGUGGCGUU
Molecule: long non-coding RNA, 588 nt
Organism: Dinoponera quadriceps
Lineage: Eukaryota; Metazoa; Arthropoda; Insecta; Hymenoptera; Formicidae
Exons: 3
Source: RefSeq, a predicted model, not a curated record